Molecule: long non-coding RNA, 492 nt
Filed under: Piliocolobus tephrosceles (Ugandan red Colobus)
Lineage: Eukaryota; Metazoa; Chordata; Mammalia; Primates; Cercopithecidae
Description: lncRNA (ENSPTEG00000016280.1)
Source: RNAcentral
AUAUGGAAGUGCACACAUACAAAUUUACAUGCCAUUCCUGAGGAUUUGUGGACCCUUGAAGCCCAUUAUGGACCCCAGCUUAAGAGCUCUUGCCAUGGCCCAGAGGAGCAAGACAGAGCAGACAAAUAUCCAAAGCUGCCACUCUCACAACAGUUGACCCAAGAAAAAGUGAAUGAAAACUUUGAUCAUCUCAUGGAAGUCUAUCUAAAGAAAUCUGACCUAUCAGGAACACCAGUAAGAAUGAAGAAGGAAUCCAAACCACCACACAAAUUGGUAUGAAGUCUGUACAGAAAUGUGCUAAAGUAGAGAGCUAGAUCUGAUGAUUUUUAGAAACAAAAGAACAGCUCUAUUAUUUUACUGGUUACAUGACAUUGGAGAAAUUAUUCUCGCAUCUCAGUUUCAUCAUCUGCCAAGUAUGCAUAAGUCUUCCUCAUGAAGCUGUUAAAUAGAUUUCAUGAAGGCCUUGUAUUAAUAAACUGAGGAAAUUGCUCA